Molecule: non-coding RNA, 813 nt
Organism: Vicugna pacos (alpaca)
Lineage: Eukaryota; Metazoa; Chordata; Mammalia; Artiodactyla; Camelidae
Source: RefSeq, a predicted model, not a curated record
UGUGCUGAGAGCCCCCUGCUGUAAAGCCCAGCUUCUCCUGGUGGAGUUGGGAAAAGGGAGCGCCAGUGUUGAGCGAGCUUCUGUCUCCUCCCUCAGUGUUUCUGCCCGAGGGCCUGCAACAUGAGAAUCCCUGACUAUGUGCAGUGUGCUGAGUACUACGAGACUCUACCCGUGGUGGUCCAACCCGUGGGGAUCAUUUCAGGAUAAUUUCUUUUGCAUCUAUAAUCGAAACUCCUUGGUGAGCCAGAUCAGCCCGUGCGGCUCCCUGUGGGCACUCUGUAUCCACUACAGGCACCACUAUGUGCCCGAGAAUGGGUGGAGUGACUUUCAGACCCACCGCAAGGUCGUGGGCCUUGUCACCAUUACCGACUGCCUCUAGGCCAAGGCCUUUGAGAAGCUUCACGUGCAGAGGAGCUCUAUGGCACCACGCUUAAUGACUCUCAGCUCUUUGACUUUGUGCUGCAUGGGGAGGUAGCCGAGCACCCGUGCACUGAUGUGACCUUCAGUCUACGAGGACUGCAGGGUGGUGGAGAAGAGGAUCGAGGACUUCACUGAGUCACUCUUCAUCUUGUUCAAGUCCAUGUGGCUGGAUGGGGCCCCCGAAAGUCUGGGGACAAGAUCCCCCUCCUCUGCGUCCUGUUUGAGAAGGAGGACUUCAUGGGACUGGAUACAGACAGCAGGGCCCUGUGAUUUACAUGCCUGCGCUCCCCUUCUGCUCCUUAGAGAUAAGAUGGCAGGUUUAGGAGCCUGGGCAGUGCUGAGGGCACAGCUGCCAGCACCGUGCUACACCGAGGCUGGCUGCAUUCACCUCAC